UACGUAGGGUGCAAGCGUUAAUCGGAAUUACUGGGCGUAAAGCGUGCGCAGGCGGCUAUGCAAGACAGAUGUGAAAGCCCCGGGCUCAACCUGGGAAUUGGCAUUCGAGACUGCAUGGCUAGGGUGCGGAAGAGGGAAGCGGAAUUUCCGGUGUAGCGGUGAAAUGCGUAGAUAUCGGAAGGAACACCAGUGGCGAAAGCGGCUUCCUGGUCCAGCACCGACGUUCAGGCACGAAAGCGUGGGGAGCAAACAGG
Molecule: ribosomal RNA, 254 nt
Filed under: uncultured bacterium
Lineage: Bacteria
Description: partial 16S ribosomal RNA
Rfam family: Bacterial small subunit ribosomal RNA
Source: RNAcentral